Long non-coding RNA from Solanum dulcamara, 965 nucleotides. RefSeq lists it as uncharacterized. The record is from RefSeq and is a predicted model, not a curated record. The transcript is spliced from 8 exons. NCBI's taxonomy places the organism in Eukaryota, Viridiplantae, Streptophyta, Magnoliopsida, Solanales, Solanaceae.
UCUCUCUCAUUUCAGGUCCAAUUUUAGUGUUUUGAAGGUCCAUCUUGUGGAUUUAUUUUUGCAAGGAACGCUUAGUGAGCUCGAAAACUGAUUUGGGGUCUCUGUUUGAGGGCUAUCUUGAGUGGUUUUUCAAGGAGAAUGCAUUGGCAUGGUUCGGAUUCAUAUUUUGAAGCUUUGUUGGAGGUCUGAACUUGGUGAUUCAAGACCCUAGAUUAUGGGGUGUUUUAUGAGGAUCAUCGUAGUUUAGUUGGUUUCAGCAAUUGAGCCCUCAUUUCUGUGUGGUAGUGAUUUGAGGCCGUUCGAAAAGGAAAAGCUCCAGUGGAGUAGUUUGGAGCAUGUAUGUUUGGCCAACAGGUCUGAGUACCAAUGGCCAGUAUUGGUAUCAAGCCUGCAACAGUCUUAUCCGGGGAUGGGGUCCGAGCACCAGUUACCAACGCUGAUUCGAGCAUGCUACAGUCUGACUUCAGAGACAAUGGUUGGAUUAGCUACUGGUGGGUUAUAGUAGGUGUCAUCAUGAAUCAAGAAAUUGGGUCGUGACAUAUUUGCAUGUCUUGAACGACAACCAGACAGACUUGUUGAGUAGCACAAUUGCCUAUCCAGCAUAUUGAUUGAAUCCUUUCUUCCGGGGGUUACCAGAGUCCUAAAGGAUUGCUUAUUUUGUUGUUUUUAAAUUUUAGGUAGGUCUGGAUCUUGUCCCAUCCAAGUAUUAUAUUCAUAUUGGCAUGAAGACUAGUAUGUUGGAUUGCAUAGCCACGAUAUUGGCCAUGUUGGCCUUGUUUGUUGGUUGGCUAAUGUUUGAUAGUUGUUUGACAUAUUGUUUACAUAUGUACCUAUUUCUAGACUGUAUAUAGAUAUCAUGGUAGCUCUGAUGGCCCACAUAGGAUUAAGCUUUCCUAGAUACCAAUGUCGCCUUGACGACCUAGAUCGACUUAUGUGCUAGUUGGUUAUUUAUUUAAUUAAACUGU